This 301-nucleotide ribosomal RNA is filed under the name uncultured Glomeromycotina. RNAcentral's name for it is "SSU rRNA". It matches the Rfam family "Eukaryotic small subunit ribosomal RNA", at positions 1426 to 1727 of the family's 1831-position model. Lineage: Eukaryota; Fungi; Glomeromycota. The record is from RNAcentral.
CUUCUUAGAGGGACUAUCGGUGUUUAACCGAUGGAAGUUUGAGGCAAUAACAGGUCUGUGAUGCCCUUAGAUGUUCUGGRCCGCACGCGCGCUACACUGAUGAAGUCAACGAGUUAAUUUCCUUCAUCGGAAGAUGUGGGUAAUCUUUUGAAACUUCAUCGUGCUGGGGAUAGAGCAUUGCAAUUAUUGCUCUUGAACGAGGAAUCCCUAGUAAGCACAAGUCAUUAGCUUGUGCUGAUUACGUCCSUGCCCUUUGUACACACCGCCCGUCGCUACUACCGAUUGAAUGGCUUASUGAGGC